Molecule: ribosomal RNA, 640 nt
Filed under: uncultured Acinetobacter sp.
Lineage: Bacteria; Pseudomonadati; Pseudomonadota; Gammaproteobacteria; Moraxellales; Moraxellaceae
Description: bacterial SSU rRNA
Rfam family: Bacterial small subunit ribosomal RNA
Source: RNAcentral
UGCAAGUCGAGCGGGGGAAGUUGCUUCGGUAACUGACCUAGCGGCGGACGGGUGAGUAAUACUUAGGAAUCUGCCUAUUAAUGGGGGACAACAUCUCGAAAGGGAUGCUAAUACCGCAUACGCCCUACGGGGGAAAGCAGGGGAUCACUUGUGACCUUGCGUUAAUAGAUGAGCCUAAGUCGGAUUAGCUAGUUGGUGGGGUAAAGGCCUACCAAGGCGACGAUCUGUAGCGGGUCUGAGAGGAUGAUCCGCCACACUGGGACUGAGACACGGCCCAGACUCCUACGGGAGGCAGCAGUGGGGAAUAUUGGACAAUGGGGGGAACCCUGAUCCAGCCAUGCCGCGUGUGUGAAGAAGGCCUUAUGGUUGUAAAGCACUUUAAGCGAGGAGGAGGCUCUUUUGGUUAAUACCCAAGAUGAGUGGACGUUACUCGCAGAAUAAGCACCGGCUAACUCUGUGCCAGCAGCCGCGGUAAUACAGAGGGUGCGAGCGUUAAUCGGAUUUACUGGGCGUAAAGCGUGCGUAGGCGGCUUUUUAAGUCGGAUGUGAAAUCCCCGAGCUUAACUUGGGAAUUGCAUUCGAUACUGGGAAGCUAGAGUAUGGGAGAGGAUGGUAGAAUUCCAGGUGUAGCGGUGAAAUG